RNAcentral lists this ribosomal RNA (579 nucleotides) under Cheilosia scutellata. RNAcentral's name for it is "eukaryotic LSU rRNA". Lineage: Eukaryota; Metazoa; Arthropoda; Insecta; Diptera; Syrphidae. The record is from RNAcentral.
GAGUUCAAGAGUACGUGAAACUGCUUAGAGGUUAAGCCCGAUGAACCUGAAUAUCCGUUAUGGAAAAUUCAUCACUAAUAACUAUGAUAUUUAUAAUAUUAUAGAAAUGGUGUGCAAUUUUUCCAUAUAAGGACAUUGUAAUCUGUUAAUGUAAUAAAUAUUUAUUAAAAGAUCUUAUACAUAAGUUUAUUCAAAUUAGUUAUUUUCGGAUUUCUAACAUAGAAUAAAUGUAUUUGAUUUAAUAAAUCAUUGACAGAUUUAAUUAUAAUAUAGUGCUUAAAUUUUGAAAGAAAUUUUACAAUAAUAUGAUAAUUCAAUUUGUUAUAUUUAUUGUAUGCACUUAUAUGAUUAACAAUGCGAUAGAUUCAGGAUACCUUCGGGACCCGUCUUGAAACACGGACCAAGGAGUCUAACAUAUGUGCAAGUCAUUGGGUAUUUUUAAUAAAACCCAAUGGCAUAAUUAACUUAACUGUUUUUUAAAUGGGAUUAGUUUAUAUUUUAUUAUGAAAUAUUAAUUCAAUCCCGGGGCGUUCUAUACAGUUAUGCAUAAUGAUAUUUAUAUUAUUUAUGUCUCUAACU